Long non-coding RNA from Ornithodoros turicata, 224 nucleotides. RefSeq lists it as uncharacterized. The transcript is spliced from 2 exons. The record is from RefSeq and is a predicted model, not a curated record. NCBI's taxonomy places the organism in Eukaryota, Metazoa, Arthropoda, Arachnida, Ixodida, Argasidae.
UCUCCGCGCUCGCUCAGUUUCUGCCUGGAAGUUGCCGCGGGGGAAAAGAGCUAUGAUGGUGGCGCCAUCUGGUGUGAUGCCUUGCAACUAAGUGGCCACCUGUCGUCGAUCUCUGCAACUGCUGGGUGCAAACUACCAACAUGGCGGACGCUGGUCACUCGGGUGUUGCGGAGCGGCUUCUUCGCCGCGGCAUCGUUGAUUUUCGAAUAAAUUGUUUCUCUCCA